Molecule: long non-coding RNA, 1762 nt
Organism: Mangifera indica (mango)
Lineage: Eukaryota; Viridiplantae; Streptophyta; Magnoliopsida; Sapindales; Anacardiaceae
Exons: 4
Source: RefSeq, a predicted model, not a curated record
UCUGUAUCAAUUUCCAUUCCACGUCUGCAAACAAUCUCCAAUUAAUUUUCCAAUUUCCCUUCUCCACCUCCACUCCGUUCUCUCCCAACCCAGUGCAUUAUCCCUGAAAUCUUACAAAAUCAGCGAUCGGCAACGACCGAGCGAGUGGCGACCGACUAAGAGGAACAAACGAGACUGUGCUAUGAUAAUCAAGAUGAGGAACGAUCGACGGACGAUGAGGAGACACGAAAUCCGACUGACGGAGACCAGGCGACGAAAUGAGAGGGCGACCGACCAACAGACGACGACGAGAACAAUAUCUGCCCGAGAAUCGAACCGAAAUUGUGAUGAAUGAUAGCAUUCAAAAUGUGCCGCAGAGCCGAAAGAUUCAAACAUGGUCCUGUUAAGUGUACAAAAUUGAAUCAGACUCUCAUUUCCUCAUGGAAGAAGGGCGGUACAAUGUUCAUAUUUGAUACAGUAAUGUUUCAGUCAUUUCUUCAUUUGCUUUAUGUAGUUAUUUUUGCAUUGUUUAUCUCUCUUCACAAUUUGUAGGUACUUGAAGAUACAAGUCAAGCAUGGAACACUAGAUAUACAUGGAUUCUUAUGUUACUUGUAACAAUAUUUAAUUUUUACUGUAGAGAGAGAUUAUCAUAAUAGGAAAUUUAACUUGGGAAUAUUGAUUGUGCUUUAAAAUACUACAAUGAUGUUUACUAUAGGUGAUGUGUCUUUUCCAUUGCAUGUGUCCUAUUUUUUUUUUUUUUUUUUUGGUCUCGGUCAUGGUGAUAGUAACAACCAUUGUGAUUUUGAGGAGAACAUAAACUUUGCUGUCCAUCCAUCAUUACAAGGGGGUUCUCACAAAAAUCGCAUUGCUGCUAUUGCCAUAGCCUUGAAACAAGUGGCAACUUCAAAGGACAAAGCAUAUAUGCAGCAGGUGAAUGAAAAUGCCCUGGCCCUAGCAUCUGCUUUAUUGAGAAGAAAAUGCAAAUUGGUGACUCGGGGCACUGGCAACCAUUUGUUGAUGUGGGAUCUGACUACUUGAGGCUUAAGAGUGCUCUUGAAUUGGCUGCUGUUACUGCUUUUGUUGCCCUCCUCCCUUGUCUUUGGAGCCUUUGUGUCUGGUAGUUCUCUUUUCCCAAGUUGCCUGGAGCCCUGCUCUCUCAUUCCUCUGCUCUGGAAGUUCAGUCUGCUGCUUUCUGUCUUGCGUGCUAUGCUUGCCUGUCACCUGGUGUGCCCUAUGGUGGUUUCAUGAUCUGCACUCAUGGCUGCUCUCCUUACUAGGAGGUCUUUGUUUUCCUCUUGCUGCCUGUUUUGGCGUUUUGGCUUCCAAUUGGUCUAUGGGAUGCCUCCUGCUUUUGGGUGUUCUUUCUUCUUGGGAUGUUGGGUUUCCUGUAUUUCCCUGCUGUCUGUUUUGGUUUUGGGAUGACUGUCUGUUGCUGAUUUAUUCGGCUUGAUUUGGUCUUCUUUUUCCUUUCCUUGGGCUUGCUUUCUCUUGAUCCUAUCUUUGGCCUGCUUUUGAUGGUUUUCAAGAGAGAAUCAAGUUUGUCUUGUUGAUCGUAUUGUUCUCCUCUGUCUUUGCCACCCGUGGUUUCGGCGAGCUUUGAUUGUACAAGUCUCUUUGUCCUUUUUCUUUGUCUAUACAUACUUAACCCAAAAAAAAAAAAAAGGAAGAAAUAGGCAUUGCCAAGUAGUGCCAUUCUUGCCAGUGUUAGAUACUAGCUUGUCAAAUAAAUGUUUCUCUCUGAUAGAUGAUUCUAUUUCACGUACAUAAUAAUUGUUAGUUUGU